ACGGGAGGCAGCAGUGGGGGAUAUUGCACAAUGGGGGAAACCCUGAUGCAGCAACGCCGCGUGAGGGAAGAAGGUUUUCGGAUUGUAAACCUCUGUCCUUGGUGAAGAUAAUGACGGUAGCCGAGGAGGAAGCUCCGGCUAACUACGUGCCAGCAGCCGCGGUAAUACGUAGGGAGCGAGCGUUGUCCGGAUUUACUGGGUGUAAAGGGUGCGUAGGCGGAAUAUCAAGUCAGUAGUGAAAACCAUGGGCUUAACUCAUGACGUGCUAUUGAAACUGAUGUCCUUGAGUGAGUCAGAGGCAGGCGGAAUUCCCGGUGUAGCGGUGAAAUGCAUAGAGAUCGGGAGGAACACCAGUGGCGAAGGCGGCCUGCUGGGGCUUAACUGACGCUGAGGCACGAAAGCGUGGGGAGCAAACAGGAUUAGAUACCCUGGUA
Molecule: ribosomal RNA, 434 nt
Filed under: uncultured Clostridium sp.
Lineage: Bacteria; Bacillati; Bacillota; Clostridia; Eubacteriales; Clostridiaceae
Description: partial 16S ribosomal RNA
Rfam family: Bacterial small subunit ribosomal RNA
Source: RNAcentral